GAUGAACGCUGGCGGCGUGCUUAACACAUGCAAGUCGAGCGAUGAAGUUUCCUUCGGGAAACGGAUUAGCGGCGGACGGGUGAGUAACACGUGGGUAACCUGCCUCAUAGAGUGGAAUAGCCUUCCGAAAGGAAGAUUAAUACCGCAUAACGUUGAAAGAUGGCAUCAUCAUUCAACCAAAGGAGCAAUCCGCUAUGAGAUGGACCCGCGGCGCAUUAGCUAGUUGGUGGGUAACGGCCUACCAAGGCGACGAUGCGUAGCCGACCUGAGAGGGUGAUCGGCCACAUUGGGACUGAGACACGGCCCAGACUCCUACGGGAGGCAGCAGUGGGGAAUAUUGCACAAUGGGGGAAACCCUGAUGCAGCAACGCCGCGUGAGUGAUGAAGGCUUUCGGAUCGUAAAGCUCUGUCUUUGGGGAAGAUAAUGACGGUACUCAAGGAGGAAGCCACGGCUAACUACGUGCCAGCAGCCGCCGUAA
This 479-nucleotide ribosomal RNA is filed under the name uncultured bacterium. Its description in RNAcentral is "partial 16S ribosomal RNA". It matches the Rfam family "Bacterial small subunit ribosomal RNA", at positions 28 to 523 of the family's 1533-position model. The record is from RNAcentral.